AAAUGCGAUAAGUAAUGUGAAUUGCUGAAUUCAGUGAAUCAUCGAAUCUUUGAACGCACCUUGCGCUCCUUGGUAUUCCUUGGAGCAUGCCUGUUUGAGUAUCAUGAAAUCUUCAAAGUAAAUCUUUUGUUAACUCAAUUGGUUUCUACUUUGGUAUUGGAGGUCUUUGCAGCUUCACACCUGCUCCUCUUUGUUCAUUAGCUGGAUCUCAGUGUUAUGCUUGGUUCCACUCGGCGUGAUAAGUUAUCUAUCGCUGAGGACACUGUAAAAGGUGGCCAAGGUAAAUGCAGAUGAACCGCUUCUAAUAGUCCAUUGACUUGGACAAUACUUUUAUGAUCUGAUCUCAAAUCAGGUAGGACUACCCGCUGAACUUAAGC
This 377-nucleotide unclassified non-coding RNA is filed under the name plant metagenome. Its description in RNAcentral is "partial contains 5.8S ribosomal RNA, internal transcribed spacer 2, and large subunit ribosomal RNA". The stretch from base 1 to 104 matches the Rfam family "5.8S ribosomal RNA", at positions 51 to 154 of the family's 154-position model. The record is from RNAcentral.